Merluccius polli (Benguela hake) is the source of this 76-nucleotide non-coding RNA. The record is from the annotation of a GenBank genome assembly. NCBI's taxonomy places the organism in Eukaryota, Metazoa, Chordata, Actinopteri, Gadiformes, Merlucciidae.
GGUCCUGAAUAGCCCAAACUGGUAGAGCAUGGCAUUCACGUUGCCAGGGUUAGGGGUUCGAGUCCCACUGGGACCA